UACGAAGGGGGCUAGCGUUGCUCGGAAUUACUGGGCGUAAAGCGCACGUAGGCGGUCUUUUAAGUCGGGGGUGAAAUCCUGGAGCUCAACUCCAGAACUGCCUUCGAUACUGGAAGACUUGAGUCCGGGAGAGGUGAGUGGAACUGCGAGUGUAGAGGUGAAAUUCGUAGAUAUUCGCAAGAACACCAGUGGCGAAGGCGGCUCACUGGCCCGGUACUGACGCUGAGGUGCGAAAGCGUGGGGAGCAAACCGG
Molecule: ribosomal RNA, 253 nt
Filed under: uncultured bacterium
Lineage: Bacteria
Description: partial 16S ribosomal RNA
Rfam family: Bacterial small subunit ribosomal RNA
Source: RNAcentral